This 668-nucleotide ribosomal RNA is filed under the name uncultured bacterium. Its description in RNAcentral is "bacterial SSU rRNA". It matches the Rfam family "Bacterial small subunit ribosomal RNA", at positions 1 to 667 of the family's 1533-position model. The record is from RNAcentral.
CCCUUAGAGUUUGAUCCUGGCUCAGAACAAACGCUGGCGGCAGGCUUCAUACAUGCAAGUCGAGCGAGAAGCCUUCGGGCUGAAAGCGGCGAACGGGUGAGUAACAGGUGGACAACCUACCCUCUGGCGGGGGACAACAGCUGGAAACGGCUGCUAAUACCGCAUGUGAUUACAUUACCUUGGUAGUGUAAGGAAAGGCGCGUUUGCGUCACCAGAGGAUGGGUCCGCCCCCCAUUAGCUUGUUGGUGUGAUAACAGCGCACCAAGGCUUCGAUGGGUAGCCGAGCUGAGAGGUUGAUCGGCCACACUGGGACUGAGACACGGCCCAGACACCUACGGGUGGCAGCAGUAGGGAAUAUUGGACAAUGGACGAAAGUCUGAUCCAGCCAUGCCGCGUGAGUGAAGAAGGUCUUCGGAUCGUAAAACUCUUUUAUGAGGGAAGAACAUCCCGGGGAGGAAAUGCCCCGGGUCUGACGGUACCUCAGGAAUAAGGGACGGCUAACUCCGUGCCAGCAGCCGCGGUAAUACGGAGGUCCCGAGCGUUGUUCGGAAUUACUGGGCGUAAAGGGGGCGCAGGCGGACAGGUCAGUGAAAAGUGGAAGCCCGAGGCUCAACCUCGGAAAGCCUUUUCAUACUGCCUGUCUUGAGUUCGUGAGAGGAGAGCGGAAU